Molecule: ribosomal RNA, 501 nt
Filed under: uncultured bacterium
Lineage: Bacteria
Description: bacterial SSU rRNA
Rfam family: Bacterial small subunit ribosomal RNA
Source: RNAcentral
AUUGAACGCUGGCGGCAUGCCUUACACAUGCAAGUCGAACGGUAACGCGGGGCAACCUGGCGACGAGUGGCGAACGGGUGAGUAAUAUAUCGGAACGUGCCCAACAGUGGGGGAUAGCCCGGCGAAAGCCGGAUUAAUACCGCAUACGACCUGAGGGUGAAAGCGGGGGAUCGCAAGACCUCGCGCUGAUGGAGCGGCCGAUAUCAGAUUAGGUAGUUGGUGGGGUAAAGGCCUACCAAGCCUACGAUCUGUAGCUGGUCUGAGAGGACGACCAGCCACACUGGGACUGAGACACGGCCCAGACUCCUACGGGAGGCAGCAGUGGGGAGUUUUGGACAAUGGGCGCAAGCCUGAUCCAGCCAUGCCGCGUGCGGGAAGAAGGCCUUCGGGUUGUAAACCGCUUUUGUCAGGGAAGAAAUCCCUUGAGCUAAUACCUUGAGGGGAUGACGGUACCUGAAGAAUAAGCACCGGCUAACUACGUGCCAGCAGCCGCGGUAAGAC